RNAcentral lists this long non-coding RNA (1136 nucleotides) under Macaca fascicularis (crab-eating macaque). RNAcentral's name for it is "lncRNA (ENSMFAG00000059538.1)". The record is from RNAcentral. Lineage: Eukaryota; Metazoa; Chordata; Mammalia; Primates; Cercopithecidae.
UUUUUUUUUUUUUUUGUAUUUUUAGUAGAAACGGUGUUUCGCCAUGUUGGCCAGGCUGGUCUCGAACUCCUGACCUCAAGUGAUCUGCCCCCCUCAGCCUCCCAAAGUGCUGGGAUUACAGGUGUGAGCUACCACGCCCGGCCAAAUUAAGGGACCUCUAUUCCUAGUUGCCUGAGAGUUUUUAUUAUGAAUAGUGUUUUUAGCAGAUGCUUCUUACACAUUUACUGAGAUCUAUAGUCUGUUGCUGUGAUGAGUCACAUGGAUGGAUUUUCUCCUGUUAAGCCAUCCUUGCAUACCUGGGGUUACUAAGUAUGGUCGUAGUGUAAUAUCUUUCAUCUGCUCAGUUGGGUUGGAUUUGAUAACAUUUUUGUUCAGGAAUUUUUGUAUCUAUAUUUGAACUCAGUGAGCUUAGCAGAUCUGUCCACCAGGCUGCAAUUUUCCUCUCUUUUGCGUUUUUCCAACUUUGGUCUUGGAAGAUUAUGUUGGCCUCGUAGAAUGAAUUGGGAGUGUCCACUGCUUUACUGUUGUCUAGGAGGGUUUGCUUACAAAAAUCUGGUUCUUUUAAAACUUGGUGGAGAGAGCCUGGCAUUUUCUUUGUAGGAAUUUUCCCCCUAACUUUUUGUCUUGAAAAAUGUCAGACUUACAAAGUCAUUGAAAUAGUAGCAAAAUGAACCUCAUACCUUUCAUGGAGACCCACUGCUUGUUAACAUUUUGCAGUAUUUGUGCUUGUGAGUGGGUGCUCUCGCUUGCUGUUAUAUGUGUAUUUAUAUAUGUAGUUAUAUACGUGCUUUUGCAUUUUAGUAGAAGCAUUUGAAAGUAAGCUGCAGACAUUUCCUAAAUGUUUUAGGAAGAUUUUAAACUACUGCUUUGAUUUUUGCUUUUUGAGACUAUUGGGCUGUUUGUGACUUUUAUAUCUGGACAUUGUACACAAAUAAUUUGACAGUUAUCCUCUCUCUGUCUCUUACAUGUUCUCCUGGUGCCUCUGACCUGUGGAUGGUGAAAGCAGGUAAGUCUGUUCCGGCAGCUUCCUCUCUUUCCCUGCCAGCUGGGGUGGGCCCAUCCUCACACCGGGCGUCAUGCUGUGACCUCCAGUAGGCAUAUUGUCUUGUCUUGUGCAAGGAGGAAACAGAUGCCAG